This 1587-nucleotide ribosomal RNA is filed under the name Triticum aestivum (bread wheat). RNAcentral describes it as "partial small subunit ribosomal RNA". The record is from RNAcentral. Lineage: Eukaryota; Viridiplantae; Streptophyta; Magnoliopsida; Poales; Poaceae.
AUGUCGCCCGUCAAGGCCGAGGACCUGGUGCCGCACCCCUGCAGGGAGCAGUUCGCCGAGCUCGACUACUGCAUCACCAGCCCGCCGCCAUGGAUCACCACGGUGGUCGUCGCGUUCCAGCACUACCUGGUCAUGCUCGGCACCACCGUCAUCAUCGCCACCAUCCUCGUCCCCAUCAUGGGCGGCGGCCAUGAGGAGAAGGCGAUCGUGAUCCAGACCAUCCUCUUCCUCGCCGGGAUCAACACGCUCCUGCAGGUGCACUUCGGCACACGGCUCCCGGCCGUCAUGGGCGGCUCCUUCACCUACAUCUACGCCGCCGUCGCCAUCAUCAUCAGCCCGCGAUACAUCCUCUUCAUCGGCGCCCCUUUCGAGAGGUUCGUGUACACCAUGCGGUCGCUCCAGGGCGCGCUCAUCAUCGCCGGCGUCUUCCAGGCCGUCAUCGGCUUCUUCGGCAUAUGGAGGGUCUUCAUAAGGUUCCUGAGCCCCCUCGCCGCUGUCCCCUUCGUCACCCUCUCCGCGCUCGGCCUCUUCUACUUCGCCUUCCCAGGGGUCGCCAAAUGCAUCGAGAUCGGUCUACCGACGCUCGUUCUGCUCCUAAUAUUCUCAGAGUACGCGUCCCAUUACUUUGCCAAAGGGAGCUUCGUGUUCGGCCGGUGCGCGGUGCUGGUGACGGUGAUCAUCGUGUGGAUCUUCGCCGAGAUACUGACGGCGGCCGGCGCCUACGACGAGAGGAACCCCGUAACGCAGUUCAGCUGCCGCACCGACCGCUCCGGCCUCAUCCACGCCGCGCCCUGGGUCAGGUUCCCUUACCCGUUCCAGUGGGGAUACCCCAUCUUCUGCGCGCAGGACUGCUUCGCCAUGAUGGCCGCUUCCUUCGCUUCGCUUAUUGAGUCUACCGGCACCCUAAUCGCAGUGUCAAGAUACGCAGGCGCAACAUUCGUCCCGCCUUCUGUUUUCGCUCGUGGAAUUGGCUGGCAGGGUAUAUCUAUCAUACUAGAUGGGAUGUGCGGUACGUUGACAGGCACAGCAGCUUCAGUUGAGAACUGCGGUCUACUGGCCUUGACGCGAGUUGGAAGCAGACGAGUCAUCAAGAUUUCCGCUUUGUUCAUGAUCUUCUUCUCGCUGUUUGGAAAAUUUGGAGCAAUUCUUGCAUCUAUUCCGUUGCCGAUUUUCUCUGCACUUUACUGUGUUCUCUUUGCUUAUUCAGCUGCUGCAGGCCUCUGCUUCCUUCAAUACUGCAACCUUAACACCCGGAGAAGCAAGUUUAUACUCGGCAUCUCCUUGUUCCUGGGGCUAUCCAUACCACAGUACUUCCGGGAGUUCGAGACAUUCUACGGCUUUGGACCAGCUCACACACGUUCACUGGCGUUCAAUGUCAUUGUCAACGUGAUAUUCUCCUCGCCCGCGACUGUUGCUGCCAUACUUGCCUACCUUCUCGAUUGCACGCACCUCUACUGGGAACCCCAUGUGAGGAGGGACAGGGGCUGGCUGUGGUUGGAGAAAUUCAAGUCCUACAGGCAUGAUGGCAGAAGCGAGGAGUUCUACGCUCUACCAUAUGGUAUGAGCAGGUACUUCCCCUCGCUCUAG